GCAAGUCGAGCGCGCCUUCGGGCGAGCGGCGGACGGGUUAGUAACGCGUGGGAACGUGCCCAGAUCUACGGAAUAGCCACUGGAAACGGUGAGUAAUACCGUAUACGCCCUUCGGGGGAAAGAUUUAUCGGAUUUGGAUCGGCCCGCGUUAGAUUAGGUAGUUGGUGGGGUAACGGCCUACCAAGCCUACGAUCUAUAGCUGGUUUUAGAGGAUGAUCAGCAACACUGGGACUGAGACACGGCCCAGACUCCUACGGGAGGCAGCAGUGGGGAAUCUUGGACAAUGGGGGCAACCCUGAUCCAGCCAUGCCGCGUGAGUGAAGAAGGCCCUAGGGUCGUAAAACUCUUUCGCCUGUGAUGAUAAUGACAGUAGCAGGUAAAGAAACCCCGGCUAACUCCGUGCCAGCAGCCGCGGUAAUACGGAGGGGGUUAGCGUUGUUCGGAAUUACUGGGCGUAAAGCGCACGUAGGCGGAUUAGAAAGUUAGAGGUGAAAUCCCGGGGCUCAACCCCGGAACUGCCUUUAAAACUACUAGUCUAGAGUUCGAGAGAGGUGAGUGGAAUUCCGAGUGUAGAGGUGAAAUUCGUAGAUAUUCCGAGGAACACCAGUGGCGAAGGCGGCUCACUGGCUCGAUACUGACGCUGAGGU
This 647-nucleotide ribosomal RNA is filed under the name uncultured marine bacterium. RNAcentral describes it as "bacterial SSU rRNA". It matches the Rfam family "Bacterial small subunit ribosomal RNA", at positions 57 to 752 of the family's 1533-position model. The record is from RNAcentral.